UGUUGACCUCGGAUCAGGUAGGAUACCCGCUGACUUAAGCAUAUAAUAGCCGGAGGAAAAA
This 61-nucleotide ribosomal RNA is filed under the name Exophiala dermatitidis. Its description in RNAcentral is "partial 28S ribosomal RNA". Lineage: Eukaryota; Fungi; Ascomycota; Eurotiomycetes; Chaetothyriales; Herpotrichiellaceae. The record is from RNAcentral.